CAUGCAAGUCAAUAUCCAAUUCCUGCGCGGCGUUGCACUUGCGCUUAGCCUGGUACAGUGACUCGGUGCUGUACGUGGACAGCAGCUUGGACCUGUGCUCCUCUGUUUGCCGUGGGGACUCCAGCUGGAAACAAACAGAUGAUAUUCAUCCUCAGUAAUGCUGGGGCCAUUUCAAGAUAAAAAUGCUGCAUGUGGCAACUGACCCAGUGUUUUUACACACAGACCAAGGAGUUACACCGGAACUAAAUCUCCUCUGCAUAUGCAGGAAGAACCUGUCCCACUGCUAUAUUAACAGCUGCCCCUUACUAUUAUGCGCUCUGUUCCAGUCUUGAUGGAAAGGAAUAUUCCAGAAUUGCCUCACUAGAGUGUGUUUCCCAAGCAGCCUUGCUUCUGUUCAGCCCAAAGGAGCCUGGCUAAUGAAAGAAACAUCCAGAGCGCUGCUCGAAAAAUCCCUGAACUCCUCCCUUUGAAAACAUAUCAACCCCUAAUUCUCCCAAGCUCCAGCUAUAAUUCAAGAAAAGUCAAAACCACUGGGACACGUGGCAGAGAAUUUCAUUUUUAAUCUUUGUGGGAGCAGGGAGUUUUACUACAAGGCCGACAAAAUGCUUCAUUUUCCUGUGUGCUGUUGCCCCACCUGAGGAGAGGACAGGGGAAAAGGUGGGAUAGGUAUUUAUUUUGGAGGAAAAGGUGGGAUGGAUAUUGCGGAGGAAAAGGUGGGAUGGGUAUUUCAGAGGAAAAGGUGGGAUGGGUAUUUUGUAGUUAAAGGUGGGAUGGGUAUUUGGGAGUGAGUUAAAGGAGGGAUGGGUAUUGCGGAGUUAAGGAGGGGUGGCUGUUGCGGGCGCUGUCCCGCACGGCGGCUGUAGGUGGAGCUGUUAUCCCAGAGCCGUGCCAGCCUUUCCUCUGGAAACGCCGGCAGCCGCCGAUGGCCUCGGGAAACUUCUUGAUGCUGGCUGGGGACACCCUGCAAACGCGGUCAUUCCUGCCCGUCUUUUCCUGCAGGGGCUUCAGAAAUCUCAAGUCACGUCUUAGUGGUUUUGCCGUGGGGGUGUCAGCGUGUUUCAAGACACGUGAGUUGGGGACUUUCUCCAUCUAAUUAAGCAGGAGAGACGGCUGAAUCUCUAACAGAUGCAUUCUGAUACUAAAAUGAUCCUCAAAUGUUUUAAGCUUAAUUAGAAACAAAACCAAAAAAACAUAAACCAGAAGUUUCUAAAGGAUAAAAA
Molecule: long non-coding RNA, 1220 nt
Organism: Passer montanus (Eurasian tree sparrow)
Lineage: Eukaryota; Metazoa; Chordata; Aves; Passeriformes; Passeridae
Exons: 3
Source: RefSeq, a predicted model, not a curated record